AAAGGUGGGGCAGGAAUCAAGGUACCUGCAUCUCUGUUGCUGUAGUGGGGUUAUUUUUUCCUUGUUAUUUCCUUUUUCCUGUUACUAUUCUUAGGAGUAAUAAAAGCUGCUGGUCGCCAAGCAGAAGAGAAAAAUUCACAGAAUUUUAAUGAUGUACAACAAUUACCGAUUCUGUCUGGCUCUAUGUGCAUCCUUCCUCUACUGCCUGUGGCGGAGAAUAGUGUGAGAGGGACUGUUAAAAUCACUUAUGGUGCUUUUUCUGUGGCUUAGUGUAAGCUGGUGGCCUGCUAGCAUCCUUUCUGCUUCUGCACCCUCAGCUCUGCAUUAUGGGAGAGAAGUAAGCAGUAUCCUGUUGGAUCCCUCAUUAAGUCCAAACCCUCUCGACAGUCUCUCUUCCCCCUGUCUUGCAGCCACUGAACAGGAACUUGUUCUUCCAUUCCUCUCAGCAGUGCAGUCUGGAGAUCUCCAACCAUUUUGUUCUGUUAUCCUGCCAGUGCGCAACCGCAGUGGCAGUAAGGGAGCAGGUCCCUCGCUGUUUUGGGUAGGGGAACUUAAACUGCAAGACGGUUUCACAGCAAUCUGUUACAUAAUACUGCGCAAAGCGAACAGUAAUUAACGUGGAGGUGGAAAAGAUACCCUUACUACUCAGUGCAAAGCCGGCUUGUCUUUCCGACAGAGAUAGUUACCUCCUACCUCUUCAUUUCCAUGAGAGGCUCUCUCAGAAUCCUAAAGAUGAGAGAAAAUAAUUGGAAAAUUGUCUUUAAUCUUUCACAGAAUCUGGCAAUACAAUCAAAAGGUUGAGGCAAUGUUAUUCUGCCUUCUCAACUGCUUAAUAUUUGGAAACGGUGAGCAAAGAAACAAGCAAGUGGAAAACAACCCCAUGUCCGCUCCCCCAGGCUGCAGAAUUCUACAUUUUUCAUCAGACCAGCCAGACUCUCAUUUUGUGCCGCACUGGUGAAAAAACGAAGUAACCUUGUGAAAGAAAUGUAUUUUCCCUGCACAUCUGAAAUCACAGUGUUGUGCUGUGUGGAACUUAGGUGACUUAGGAAUCCUUUGGACUGCCUAGCUCCAGUUACUGGAGAGUUACUGCUAUUAUUGCAGAAUAUAAUGAGAUGAAACUCCCCUGAAGAUAUUCCCUGCCCAGGAAUUGAUGGGACUGCUCAUUUUGCUUUGUUACACCCUUUUUUAAAUGGCUCUUCAUAAAGAUUUGUUUUGCAGCAGUUUCAAGUUACAUGAGGGUAUGAUAACAAGAACAGUCUGGCUAAACCUCCUAGCUGAUGCUCAUCUGACUUAGACAAUGUAUAAUCAUAGAUAAAAAUACCCUGAGCUUGGUUACAUCCUAAAAAUACUCUUCAAAAUUCUUAGCAGCUGUUACUAGAAAUAGUUUACUAUUGGCUAGGAGGUACAGCAGAAGCUGAAAAAAAAAACAAAGACUAGAUGUAUAUUUUUUUCUCUCAAAUAUUUAUCUUGACUUAAAUACUCCACGUUCAGAUUAAAAUAUUUCAAGCACUUGCUCAUCUUAGGCUGCUUAUAAGGACUGAAGGGGACAAUUGGAUUAUUUUCUUAGGUUCCUUUCUUCUUACCCUUUCUGUUUUAUUAUCAGUAGCUGAAAUUAUAAAUGGUAUAGGAGAAGUAGAUAAGGACCAUAUAUUUUCAUAUUACAAAAAUAUCGGGGUACUUGGUGAAAUACAAAUGAUCGGAAACCUAUGGGAGAAAAAUGACUGUUUGGCGAGACUUCGAAACUUAUGGCAACAGGCUUUUGUUGGAAUCAAUAAAUUAAUGAAAUGAGAAAGAAAUCGAGCCACUGAAACUAUCCAGAUGCCUGGUUGUACUGAAAUGAGGAAAUUAUUGGUUCUGAAGUCCUGGGAUUAAGGUGAAGGAGUUAGACUUACCCACCAUCCUAAGAGCAUUGUAGGACUGAAGAAAGUAAGGAAAAGACCCACAGCCGUAUUUGGUUAUGCGUUUAUUUCUUUUUCAGUCAAGAACAUGUGCUAGCAAUCGAUAUUUAGUUGCCCAGGUGGUGACCAGCCUAGGCAUGGCACCUGUGCUUCUGGGACUGUCCAAGCCUAAGCUGCUUUUCUGAAAUAAAUCCCCUGAGAUGCCAUUGUGCAGGCCAGUACUUUUCUGCAGAGUGCCAGCCCAGCUUGUUCCCUUCAAUAGUCUUUGUAUUAGCUUUCUUCAGGGGGACCCUAAAAACUGCCUGCAUCACAAGAAACGCAGUCACAGGAGUGUUUAUUUGCAGAAACACUUUCUGUGUCCUUUCAAAAAUCUGAAGAAUUGUCACUAGAGUAUUACUGUCAGUGCGGUAUUUUUUUGCUUGAAAAAUUCUGAACAUCCUUUGAUUUUCUUUAAGUUUGAGGUUUUGCUUUUCACUGUAAGAACUAACUUUAAAAUCCACAAAAGCUAUAGAUCAUAUAUUUAAAUCUUAUUUACUGCUUUUGAAAUAAUUUGUUAUUGUUUCCCCCAAGACCAAAUGACUGUAUAUGUUUUGGAAGUGUCACUCUUACACAAAUGUUGCCUUAUGACACCUUUUAAAAUGUGGUAUGUACUUUACAUGCGUGUGUGUUCUGAAUGUGAACCAGUUCACUGGUAAACUUCCUAUAAUCCUCUCCAUUGUCAACCCCCUACAAUCACUGAAGUAGACUGUGUGUUUUGUGGAAGUCUUGGCAGAAAGUGCCUUUUGUAUGCAGUGAAAGCAGACGAUGGCAGGCGUGCUAAUCACCUUACCUUCGGGGUCUUCUGAAGCCAUAGCAGCAUUAAUCGUGUUACCAGCUGCACACAGUACUCUGACCUUCUGCCUGUGGAAAAGAUGCUUCUGUUUGCAGAGCACAGACGUGGUGUGGACACGAGUGUGACAUACUUUGCAUCAUGAUCUAAGUGCCUGAAUCUUGUUGCUGGAUGCUGCUCAAUGGCUGCUGUACAGCACCCUAUGGGCAGGUGCAUCUGCCCACUGGUUCCUUUUUGUGCAGGAGCUGUAAGAAUGAUGGCACUGCAUGGAAACGGGAUGCACAGGAGCUUAGAGCUUAUCAGCUGAGGGUUUGGAUGCUGCUUGGCACCUGCUGACACUCUGAAGUGCAUCUUUUUAGUUGGUAAAUUCCUUGUCCCCUCUGAUGUCUCUGUUUUUCAGUGCAGAAGGGAAGGUGGACUCUGAGCCGUGUGAGACCUUCAACUUGGAUGUCCUAGGUUGGCAAGCCGUCUUUGGAUAGUUGCUAGUACACUGAAACAGAUGUGGGAAGACUGGAAGAAUAGUUGUCCAUCUGUGCACAUGAAGUAGCGUGCAUCCUAUGUCAAAGAAUUGAUGUUGCUACAGGUGAAAUGAACAGUCCUGGAAAUGUAGACUUACCUUUGAGUUUAGAAGUAGUUUUUAUGAAUCUUAGGGGCCUAGUAUUACAGACUAGUCAGACACUGCUAGCAAAAUAUUUGCAAGAUUUGGGUCAUUGUUCAAAUAAUUAGCAGAGCAGAAGCUUCAUGAGAGCUGGUACUGUGGAGGACACCUAACUACAAGUAGCUGCAGUAUCAAACUGGAUGUCCAGAACAGUUGUUACAUAAUCUACAUGUAUAUUACAUUAGAUAAUCAGUAAUGUCUUAUCUGUUCCUAUUUUUAAGGUAUUGAGAUUCUUUUUUUUUUUUCAUACUAUUGUGUUUUAUUUUUGUAUUCAGAUGAGAAUGAGAUUUCUUUCUUUAUUUUCGCAGCUGCAUGUAAAUGAAUAGCAUUUCCUUUACCAAUUAUAAAAGGGAUUUGGUGAAAGGCAGAUUGUACAGUAGCCGCCUGCUUAGCUGACAGGUGAAACAUUUAUUAUGGGGCUGUAUUGUGUUUGUUUGUUUAUUAUUAAAAAUCCCUGGUAUCACAUGUCCGCUUCUAUAUUUUUGGCUUCUGAGUAAUCAAAGUCAUAAAUGAAACAGGUGUAAACUUUCCUGGUCUCUUUACAGUGUAGACGCUAUACCUGUAGGAAACUUAUGAUAAAAUAAAUAAAUAAAUCUCUUUUAAUAUUCUCCCAGUAUUUUUUUUUACUGUAACUGCAAUAUUUUUUUCCAUUUUGUAAAGUCAAAAGCAUGAGAGCUGUUAAAAUUGUGGAGUUAGUAAUUGUCUUUUUGUUUUGAUAGCUGUACAGUGUUACUGCAGAGUAAAAAUCAAGCAGAACAGUCAGUAAUGUUAAUAUACAGUUAAAUUUUAAAACGUCAUGGGAGAAGCCAAGGGAAGACCUUACAAUUCAUAUCAGAGAAGCAGGCAAAUAGGUGAGGUCUGUUAAGGAACUGAAAAACCAGGAAGACUUAGGAAUAUUCCCUGGCCCCUUGGC
Molecule: non-coding RNA, 4298 nt
Organism: Anas platyrhynchos (mallard)
Lineage: Eukaryota; Metazoa; Chordata; Aves; Anseriformes; Anatidae
Source: RefSeq, a predicted model, not a curated record